UACGUAGGGGGCAAGCGUUGUCCGGAUUUAUUGGGCGUAAAGAGCGUGUAGGCGGCCAGACAGGUCCGUUGUGAAAACUCGAGGCUCAACCUCGAGACGUCGAUGGAAACCGUCUGGCUAGAGUCCGGAAGAGGAGAGUGGAAUUCCUGGUGUAGCGGUGAAAUGCGCAGAGAUCGGGAGGAACACCUGCGGCGAAAGCGGCUCACUGGACCAUAACUGACGCUGAUGCACGAAAGCUAGGGGAGCAAACAGG
Molecule: ribosomal RNA, 253 nt
Filed under: uncultured bacterium
Lineage: Bacteria
Description: partial 16S ribosomal RNA
Rfam family: Bacterial small subunit ribosomal RNA
Source: RNAcentral